This 851-nucleotide long non-coding RNA is filed under the name Equus caballus (horse). RNAcentral's name for it is "lncRNA (ENSECAG00000052380.1)". The record is from RNAcentral. Lineage: Eukaryota; Metazoa; Chordata; Mammalia; Perissodactyla; Equidae.
CCAUCUCACUGCUUCCAGAGCCAUGCCAAGAGAUCCCGGGACCCUCUCAGAGCCUGGCCACUCCCUCCUUCCCCAGGAGGAGGAGAUUGCAAAAGAGACAGAAAAGGAGUGCCCAGAGAGGCAGAGGGAAAGGAAGAGGAAGAGGAGGGUGAGCCGCGUGGGAAUCCAGGAAAGAGAGGGCUUCCGCUUAGAGACGUGGACCCCGUUUCAUAAGACAAGGGAAGCUGAGGCCCAGAGGACUGAGACAACUUGUGCGUAAUCACCUUUUUCAGAUUCACAAUCAUGAAAGUAUCAUGAAGAAUUUCAAAGGUUCACUCUCCACCCUUUUCCACCUGCUCUGUGUCCAGAGAGGCUGACCUGUGUGGACUGACAAAGAGGCCCUUGUCCUCUGGCUUACAACUGGGCCCGGACAAUGAGGCGCGACAGCAGGAGACAGAAGCGAGCACCAGUAGAGGGUAAGAGGAAUAUAGGAAGAAAUGAAGGAGGAAAAGAGCAAGUGAGAGAGAAUCAGAAGAAGAGCAAGAGUGACCAAGAGAGAGGGAAGAGAUUAAGAAAAAGCGAUCGGGACAUACAAGUAUGUUUUAUGCAAUCUUGAAAGGAGACGCUUGGAUCACUGGCAGAAGAUGGGUUUCUAACUUACAGCCACUUUAUAAAUUCUGAUUCUUCUCACAGAAGAAUAAUUUUAAGCCCAUGUGGGGCUAGGCAAUUUUGUUUUAGAAUUUAACUUUAGAGCUAAUAAUUUUAAUACACAAAAAUUAUUAUUAAUAACUCUUAUGGUAUCCUGACAAUGUGUUAGACACUGAAUUCUCAAGUAGAUUAAGAGGAAACAUUUCUUAUUAGUAUGAAACAAC